RNAcentral lists this transfer-messenger RNA (363 nucleotides) under Deltaproteobacteria bacterium. It matches the Rfam family "transfer-messenger RNA". From Rfam's summary of the family: Bacterial tmRNA, also known as 10Sa RNA or SsrA, is named for its dual tRNA and mRNA-like properties. Its role is to liberate the mRNA from a stalled ribosome. To accomplish this part of the tmRNA is used as a reading frame that ends in a translation stop signal. RNAcentral also lists the same sequence under 1 other name. Lineage: Bacteria; Pseudomonadati; Myxococcota; Myxococcia. The record is from RNAcentral.
GGGGGCGAACUGGUUUUGACGGGGGUGCUGAGGUUCAGGUUGCGUGUCCGGGUCCUGCAACCCGGUUAUCAAAUGUAGGAAACCAACAAACGCCAACGACAACGCGUUUGCCCUCGCCGCAUAACUGCUGGUGAGCGGUCGUUCCUCGGGUCGCCUGUGCCUGGGGAUUUUCGACUGUCAUAUUUCACAGGCUGGCUGCUGAACGGGAUCCCGACGUUCAACAGUGAGAUUUCUGGGAUCCGGCUCCGAUGAAUCCUGCCCGUGGGAGUUGACGGAGCUUGAAUCAAAUCACGGAAACUACGCACGUAGACGCCUGUUUCCAAUCGCUCGCGGACCGGGGUUCGACUCCCCGCGCCUCCACCA